GACGAUGAUGCCAGCUUGCUGGUGGAUUAGUGGCGAACGGGUGAGUAACACGUGAGUAACCUGCCCUUGACUCUGGGAUAAGCCUGGGAAACUGGGUCUAAUACCGGAUAUGACCUUCCAUCGCAUGGUGGUUGGUGGAAAGCUUUUGUGGUUUUGGAUGGACUCGCGGCCUAUCAGCUUGUUGGUGGGGUAAUGGCCUACCAAGGCGACGACGGGUAGCCGGCCUGAGAGGGUGACCGGCCACACUGGGACUGAGACACGGCCCAGACUCCUACGGGAGGCAGCAGUGGGGAAUAUUGCACAAUGGGCGAAAGCCUGAUGCAGCGACGCCGCGUGAGGGAUGACGGCCUUCGGGUUGUAAACCUCUUUCAGUAGGGAAGAAGCGUAAGUGACGGUACCUGCAGAAGAAGCGCCGGCUAACUACGUGCCAGCAGCCGCGGUAAUACGUAGGGCGCAAGCGUUAUCCGGAAUUAUUGGGCGUAAAGAGCUCGUAGGCGGUUUGUCGCGUCUGCCGUGAAAGUCCGGGGCUCAACUCCGGAUCUGCGGUGGGUACGGGCAGACUAGAGUGAUGUAGGGGAGACUGGAAUUCCUGGUGUAGCGGUGAAAUGCGCAGAUAUCAGGAGGAACACCGAUGGCGAAGGCAGGUCUCUGGGCAUUAACUGACGCUGAGGAGCGAAAGCAUGGGGAGCGAACAGGAUUAGAUACCCUGGUAGUCCAUGCCGUAAACGUUGGGCACUAGGUGUGGGGGACAUUCCACGUUUUCCGCGCCGUAGCUAACGCAUUAAGUGCCCCGCCUGGGGAGUACGGCCGCAAGGCUAAAACUCAAAGGAAUUGACGGGGGCCCGCACAAGCGGCGGAGCAUGCGGAUUAAUUCGAUGCAACGCGAAGAACCUUACCAAGGCUUGACAUGAACCGGACCGCUGCAGAAAUGUGGUUUCCCCUUUGGGGCUGGUUUACAGGUGGUGCAUGGUUGUCGUCAGCUCGUGUCGUGAGAUGUUGGGUUAAGUCCCGCAACGAGCGCAACCCUCGUUCUAUGUUGCCAGCACGUGAUGGUGGGGACUCAUAGGAGACUGCCGGGGUCAACUCGGAGGAAGGUGGGGACGACGUCAAAUCAUCAUGCCCCUUAUGUCUUGGGCUUCACGCAUGCUACAAUGGCCGGUACAAAGGGUUGCGAUACUGUGAGGUGGAGCUAAUCCCAAAAAGCCGGUCUCAGUUCGGAUUGGGGUCUGCAACUCGACCCCAUGAAGUCGGAGUCGCUAGUAAUCGCAGAUCAGCAACGCUGCGGUGAAUACGUUCCCGGGCCUUGUACACACCGCCCGUCAAGUCACGAAAGUUGGUAACACCCGAAGCCGGUGGCCUAACCCC
Molecule: ribosomal RNA, 1365 nt
Filed under: Pseudarthrobacter enclensis
Lineage: Bacteria; Bacillati; Actinomycetota; Actinomycetes; Micrococcales; Micrococcaceae
Description: bacterial SSU rRNA
Rfam family: Bacterial small subunit ribosomal RNA
Source: RNAcentral